UGUGAAAGCACAAAGGUCAGAAAGAGCUGUUCUCUGUCUUGAAAUAAAGAAACUACAGGCGGCACUGCUUGGUGGCUGAGUAACACAACACGGGCUGGAGAACUUUUUCCUGCCACAAGGUACUGAAGGAUGGACAGGUGACUAACUUGACAUGGGCUGGAAUUCAAACAGCGCAGUCGGUGGACUUAAUGAACGCACACGCACUGGAUUCAGGAGCAAGAGCAGAAGGAAGCCGCAUUAGGACUGCCGGAGCCCAAACUCUCCCUCUUCCCCAUGGAGUUAAUGUCAUGGAAAUCAUGCAGUCCGUCCAAAAGAAAAUAUCCUACAUAUUAUGUGAUAAGCCACAGGGGAAACCAAGGAAAUUUGGGGGCUGUUGGAAUCAGAGAUACUAAACAGAAUUUAGAAACUGAGGCUCAGAAGUGUUAAGUACCUUCCCCACUAUCAGACUGCAAAUUCAAGCCCAUCUGGUUCAGAAGCCCGGAGAAGACUAUCUCCCCACCUCUAAGAAAAACAGGGGAAUACGCUAGACCCCUACAUACAGAAGAGUAUUAUUAACGGAAUCUACAUGGAAUUAAUAAAGGCUGCUUUUUCAAAAAAAUCUGGUCAAAAGACCACUGUAAAGAGAAAAGAAGCCUGAUGUUAAAGAUCAAGUAUCCUCGCAAUUCGUUAUUUAAAUUUUGCAGGCUUUGACAAGGCUUUUCACUAUUUACUGGAAAUGCUUUCUCACCUCUUGACGCCUGUGAAAUUGCUCUUGUCUCAUUUUCCUCAGAACUUCCUGACCCCUCGUCCUUCAGUCUCCUCUCUUUUGCUGCCCCUCGAAGUAAAGGUACUUCCUAGGACUUUGCACUCAGCAUUUUUACUCUUCUCGCUCUCCUGGGUGGUCUCGCCACCUCCACGGCUGCAGGCACCCCCAAAUGCCGGUCUUCCGUUCCCGCUGAGCCCCGCAGCUGCACACGCACCUGCCCCGCUGUCUAUGGCAGAGGUGGGCAGAGCUCCGCUCAGUGUCUCGUCACCCGUCACGUCCAUACUUCCGACAAGCUCACCUCCUGCUUUCCAAGCUGCUUCCCCUCCUGCGGGGAACAGUCAACAGACACAGCCCCGAGUCAUCUCCCCAAGUUAGAGAUCAGAGAACUCAUCUUGAAUUCUAACCACACUUCCUUUCUCCUCACCCAUAAAGAUACCAACCCAUAAGUUAAUUCUUUUUUUUUUUUUUUUUUAAGAUUUUAUUCCUUGUCAGAGAGAGAGAGAGAGUGAACAAGCAGGGGGAGCAGCAGAGGGAGAGGGAGAAGCAGGCUCCCUGCUGAGCAGGGCGCCCCGUGUGGGGCUAGAUUCCAGGACCCUGGGAUCAUGACCUGAGCCGAAGAAAGACAUUUAACCAACUGAGCCCCCAGGUGUCCCCAACACAUCACUAAGUUCUGUCAACAGUUCUGUAUUCUUGGAUCUUUUCUCCCUCCUCAGGGCGUCUACUUUUCUUCAAGCCUGUACCAUACUAAACUGUAUGACUUCAAGAUUCCACUGACUUGCCUUUUCCUGCCGCGUCCCCUUCCAAUUCAUUCUCCUUCCCACAACCAGCCUAUUCUUUGUAAAAUAUAAAUCUGAUCCUGUAUGUCACUGUUGUGUUUUAUGUCACUGAUGGGCCCUCUUUUCAUUCAGAAGAGUCUCCUUCCAGCAGCAACAAGGUCCUCCGUGGGUCCACAGCCCGUCCCCUCUCCUUCUCCCCUUCCCCUCGCACUGGGUGCUAGAGCCAGCCAGACCGAACCCUCUUCAGGGGCUCAAAUACACCUGGCUCUCCCACACCUUAGGGCCGCAUCCUGUGCUGCUCCCAGCUGGCUGGCCUCCCUUUCCUUCUUCCUUCUCAAAUGACUCAACAAGAGCCUUAACAGCCAGAUCUGCGGACACCUCACCUGGGAUGCCAGGCCAUGUCUGGCACUGUUCCCACGGCCAUCUCUGCCCCAGCUCUCUGUUCCUCUGUCCGAGCACUUUGCCUCAUUGCCACUGGACUAACGGACUCGUCUGUCUUUUCCACUGGGCUAUCAGCUCCUUGAGGGCAGCAACUGUCCCUACAGGCUCUCCUACCCUUGCUCCUAGCACAGGGUCUUAAAUGCACUUGCCCUUGAUAAACAGGUCUAAUGAAUACAUAGUUACAUUCAUUAUCUAAUCUAGUGAAUGGAUGGAAAAAUUCAUUACAUAAUAUGACUUCAGCCUUUGCUGUAUCACUCACUGUCAUAUGAUUAAUGAAUAAAUUGCCCAGAAGUGUCUUGCCCUAUUUUCUUCAAAACAGUGCAAGUAAAUUAGAGAAAAAGAUAAAUGGUGAUUCUCUUCACUUUCUUUCUUUUUUUUUUUUUUUAAAGAUUUUUUUUAUUUAUUUGACAGAGAGAGAGAUC
Long non-coding RNA from Mustela lutreola (European mink), 2384 nucleotides. RefSeq lists it as uncharacterized. NCBI's taxonomy places the organism in Eukaryota, Metazoa, Chordata, Mammalia, Carnivora, Mustelidae. The record is from RefSeq and is a predicted model, not a curated record. The transcript has 4 exons.